This 404-nucleotide ribosomal RNA is filed under the name Verrucomicrobiota bacterium. RNAcentral's name for it is "Verrucomicrobia bacterium partial 16S ribosomal RNA". It matches the Rfam family "Bacterial small subunit ribosomal RNA", at positions 355 to 776 of the family's 1533-position model. Lineage: Bacteria; Pseudomonadati; Verrucomicrobiota. The record is from RNAcentral.
UGGUGUAUAGUGGACAACGGGCGCAAGCCUGAUCCAGCCAUGCCGCGUGAGUGAUGAAUGCCCUAGGGUUGUAAAGCUCUUUCACCGGUGAAGAUAAUGACGGUAACCGGAGAAGAAGCCCCGGCUAACUUCGUGCCAGCAGCCUCGGUAAUACGAAGGGGGCUAGCGUUGGUCGGAUUUACUGGGCGUAAAGCGCACGUAGGCGGACUUUUAAGUAAGGGGUGAAAUCCCGGGGCUCAACCCCGGAACGGCCUUUGAUACUGGAAGUCUUGAGUAUGGUAGAGGUGAGUGGAAUUCCGAGUGUAGAGAUGAAUUUCGUAGAUAUUCGGACGAACUCCAGUGGCGAAGGCAGCUCACUGGACCAUUACUGACGCUGGGGUGGGAAAGCGUGGGGAGCAAACAGG